GUACCUACUGAACUGGAUUCGGU
Molecule: microRNA, 23 nt
Filed under: Monopterus albus (swamp eel)
Lineage: Eukaryota; Metazoa; Chordata; Actinopteri; Synbranchiformes; Synbranchidae
Description: Mal-Mir-24-P4b_5p (mature (guide))
Source: RNAcentral